Molecule: ribosomal RNA, 253 nt
Filed under: uncultured bacterium
Lineage: Bacteria
Description: partial 16S ribosomal RNA
Rfam family: Bacterial small subunit ribosomal RNA
Source: RNAcentral
UACAGAGGUCUCAAGCGUUGUUCGGAUUCAUUGGGCGUAAAGGGUGCGUAGGUGGCGGGGUAAGUCAGGUGUGAAAUUUCGGAGCUCAACUCCGAAACUGCAUUUGAUACUGCCUUGCUUGAGGACUGGAGAGGAGACUGGAAUUUACGGUGUAGCAGUGAAAUGCGUAGAGAUCGUAAGGAAGACCAGUGGCGAAGGCGGGUCUCUGGACAGUUCCUGACACUGAGGCACGAAAGCCAGGGGAGCAAACGGG